Molecule: ribosomal RNA, 497 nt
Filed under: uncultured bacterium
Lineage: Bacteria
Description: partial 16S ribosomal RNA
Rfam family: Bacterial small subunit ribosomal RNA
Source: RNAcentral
GAUGAACGCUGGCGGCGUGCCUAAUACAUGCAAGUCGAGCGAACAGAUAAGGAGCUUGCUCCUUUGACGUUAGCGGCGGACGGGUGAGUAACACGUGGGUAACCUACCUAUAAGACUGGGAUAACUUCGGGAAACCGGAGCUAAUACCGGAUAAUAUUUCGAACCGCAUGGUUCGAUAGUGAAAGAUGGUUUUGCUAUCACUUAUAGAUGGACCCGCGCCGUAUUAGCUAGUUGGUAAGGUAACGGCUUACCAAGGCGACGAUACGUAGCCGACCUGAGAGGGUGAUCGGCCACACUGGAACUGAGACACGGUCCAGACUCCUACGGGAGGCAGCAGUAGGGAAUCUUCCGCGAUGGGCGAAAGCCUGACGGAGCAACGCCGCGUGAGUGAUGAAGGUCUUCGGAUCGUAAAACUCUGUUAUUAGGGAAGAACAUACGUGUAAGUAACUGUGCACGUCUUGACGGUACCUAAUCAGAAAGCCACGGCUAACUACGUG